ACAGCAUUAGUCUUCUAGCAUGUGCAAAGCAAAAAAACUUUUGCACUAUUUUUCUUUUUUCCAAACUUAAAAAACAUACUGCUUUGUAGCAAAAGCCUAGUAGUUUUUUAAACUUCAAUCAUGUUUUAAAGUUUAUAAAAACUUGCAAAAAAUUAUAAAGUCCCGUCUAAAUUAUGAAUCUAAAUCUUGAUUUUAUAUUUGAAGAAAUUCGAUUUGUUUGGAAAGAAUUUCGAAAUUUAUUAUUCAAUUGCAAUCCUAGUCCAUUGCAGUUCAAAACUAAUCCAUGCUGUAGUUGCUGUAAAUGUUGCACCAAUAAAGAAAAUGCCCUCAACAUACUGUUUUAUUCAGUGAUAAUAGUUGGACCAAUGUUGGCGAUUCUAAUCGAUCACAAUAAAUUUCCUGACAAAAAAUAAAAUUUAAUGAUAAAUUUCAACAAACGUCUUACUUAUUGACUAUUCUCGAGUAAAAUUCCUUGGACUUUUCAAUUGUGGAUAGAAAUUUAAGAAGUUCUGCAUCUGGUGGUGUUGCCCAUUUUAUGCUACCUUGUUGUCCAGCACGAAUUUCAGCAACUGGUUCUUCUUUGGUGGGCAAUAGUUUUGGAGUUCCACAUGUUUUUUUCACCUGCAAAUUUAAAAAUUAAAUAAAAAACAAUUAAAUUAAAUUGAUAAA
Long non-coding RNA from Episyrphus balteatus (marmalade hoverfly), 669 nucleotides. RefSeq lists it as uncharacterized. NCBI's taxonomy places the organism in Eukaryota, Metazoa, Arthropoda, Insecta, Diptera, Syrphidae. The record is from RefSeq and is a predicted model, not a curated record. The transcript has 2 exons.